This 192-nucleotide ribosomal RNA is filed under the name uncultured bacterium. RNAcentral's name for it is "partial 16S ribosomal RNA". It matches the Rfam family "Bacterial small subunit ribosomal RNA", at positions 335 to 524 of the family's 1533-position model. The record is from RNAcentral.
ACUCCUACGGAAGGCAGCAGUGAGGAAUAUUGGUCAAUGGGCGCAAGCCUGAACCAGCCAUCCCGCGUGAAGGAAGAAUGCGCUAUGCGUUGUAAACUUCUUUUCCAGGGGAAUAAAAUUUCGUACGAGUACGGGACUGAAGGUACCUUGGGAAUAAGCAUCGGCUAACUCCGUGCCAGCAGCCGCGGUAAU